RNAcentral lists this ribosomal RNA (265 nucleotides) under uncultured archaeon. Its description in RNAcentral is "partial 16S ribosomal RNA". It matches the Rfam family "Archaeal small subunit ribosomal RNA", at positions 717 to 982 of the family's 1478-position model. The record is from RNAcentral.
ACACGACUACAUUAGAUACCCCCGUAGUCCUAGCCGUAAACGAUACUCGCUAGGUGUCGACCACGGUGCGACCGUUGUCGGUGCCGUAGGGAAGCCGUGAAGCGAGCCACCUGGGAAGUACGGCCGCAAGGCUGAAACUUAAAGGAAUUGGCGGGGGAGCACCACAACGGGUGGAGCUUGCGGUUUAAUUGGAUUCAACGCCGGAAAUCUUACCGGGACUGACAGCAACAUGAAGGCCAGGCUGAAGACUUUGCCGGAUUAGCUG